RNAcentral lists this long non-coding RNA (1663 nucleotides) under Cricetulus griseus (Chinese hamster). RNAcentral's name for it is "lncRNA (ENSCGRG00000026397.1)". The record is from RNAcentral. Lineage: Eukaryota; Metazoa; Chordata; Mammalia; Rodentia; Cricetidae.
CUCGGCUCGGCUUUCCCCUUGCUUGGGGCUUCCUGCGAGCCCAAUAUAGCUCUGCCGAGCCACGUGGACCGCAGCGGGCUGGGUGGAGGCCGGACCGGCCUAAGAGACGCCGGAGGAGGAGGCGCGGGGACCGGAUCGCCGCCCCGAGAGAGGGGCUCUGCGGGAACAGCGCGCGAGGCUAGGGAAGAACUCCCCGGAGGCCUCAAGCUCGCGGGGUCAACCCCCGGGACAAGGCGAUGGGCGUGCGCCGAGAGGACGUGGCUGGCGGUGCCGAGAAGAUCCCUAGUCGGGUGUGCGGUGGAGAGAGGUGGCGAUCCCCCCUGCAGAGCCACCUCUUCCUCUAAGGGCGUGGGACUGGAGGGUUUGUUUUGCUGAGCAAGUGGAUACAGGCAUGCAGAGCUCCGGAAACUGUCGUUGGUGGCAUCUUCUGAGAGCUCAGCCCAAGCCCGCUGCAGAAGGAGGAAGGAGCGGGUUUCAACUGUGCUCCUGACCUGCCUAGAUAGAUAGGGUGGAAGCAUUGUGUAAGACCGGGGAAGCAGACUCAAUUAGAAGGGAGGAAGGGGAGGACAAAGAGAAAACAAACUACCAGAAAAGGAAAUAAAAGAAACCGAGACCCACAAGUUCCACUAGUCAGGGGGUGGGGGAGUAAUGCGCAAGAUGUCCUUCCUUCAGGUAAGUCUCCCCCUGGGGGAGGCCUUACCUGCCACUUGACUGUCCCCACCCGCUGGGAAUUUGAGGGAAGAGGUCUCCAAGGUGCUCUAUGACCCAUGCUGAAUCCUCUUCCCUGCUGUCCUUGGUUGAUUUGGGUUUCCAUGCUAUACAGGGGGUGAGGUCCUUGCCCCACGCGAAAGUGUCUCUGUAAGCUUUUUUUUUUUCUGAGACACUGGUCAGACUGCAGCACCUGGCGUUCUUUUGCGUGCUUGGGAGAGGAGGGCAGAGUUCCAAUCCUGUCAGCUACUGCCCCUCAUAGCACAGCAUCUUCCAACCAUAUCUAGUGUGGGCCACUUAGAUUCUUGGUAGCCAGUGGUACGGUUUGGAGCAGGAGCACACACCCGGGAGACCCUCAGAAGGCAAUUUAAAUGGUCACCUAGCUGGACCUUACUGCAGAGAACGGAGUCUGGUGGUUUGCAAGGCUGUGUCUACUGGCUGUGUGCCUCUUGAGUUGAUGAGGCUUUCUGUGGCUAAGGAACCCUGCUUCCUGCUGACUGCAGCCCUCUCUCUGUGUGGUUCACAAGGUAGUAAGGAAGUGUUGGGUGAAUUAGUCUUGCAAGGAACCAUGGGUGCAAAGGGAAUCACUUAGGCAAAUGGAACCACACUUGGUGAGUAGGAGACUGCUUUUGUAUUCUAAUGGAUUCCCUGGAGGGAGGGUUAGAUUAGGCAAAUUGACAGCCCCCCCGGGGCAUCCAGCUGUUGCACUUUGAGAGCCAGCUCUGUUUCUACCCCCAGAGUGGGUCUCCGGAUGACUUCAAAGGGGCCUCCGGUGAGUUCUGGUGAAUGUGCAUAAGCCACUGCCUUACCCAUGUAAAAUGCAUCUACUUCUAGUCAGGGAAUGCAGGCAGGACCUUUUUAAAUCCACCCACUGGCUGUCUUGUUACAACACAACUUCUUUCUAGGUAACAGGAUGGGCCUUCCAUAUUCCUUCCCUUCUUUUCUGUUCCUUCCU